UUUUCUUUGAACAGUCGUCCAAGAGGUGUGAUUUCUACUCCUGUUAUAAGGACCUUUGGUCGAGGAACCAAAUACCACACUAGAGGGUUCAAGAGUCAGGGAACAUACCAGAGCAAUCCUGCAUAUACUGCCUCAACCAAUGAAGCGCUAAAAGACAGAAAGAAGCCGAAGUUGGAGACCAAAACACCACAUCUGCCCUUAGAAGGGUCCACAGCUGCAGAGAAUGGCUUGGUGGAGGGUAAAGAAGCAGACCAGCUCAAUGGGAACGAAGGGGAAAGCAGAGCUACAAACCAACCUGAAAGUGCCUUUAGCAACGAAUCUAAAAUGUGCAAUACUAAUCCUCAUUUAAAUGCACUAAAUGAAGACGGCGAGGGCCGCAGAGAUGAAGCUCUGGGCGCAGCUGUCUUAAAAACAGAAGAGUAAACCUAUUUUUAUAGAGAGGGUGAAGGCUGAUGGAAGGUUACGUGUUAAGGAAUAUCUGGAAGGAUGGAGGGCCUACAGUUGGUGUAAAUUUUUUCCUCUCCGAAAGCGAUAAAUGAGGACUUACGAAUUUUUUAAAUCCCUCUUCGAUGUCAGUGAGUUUAAACCACAAAGUAAUGAUGAGGAAACCUCUCGGUAAAACGUAGAUAUACAAGUCAUACAGAGAAUCUUACCAGUUUAAUGAUGAAAGACGGGGUUCUCCCUCGUCAAUGAUAUUACGUGUUUCAAAACUGGUUACAUGAAAUUAUUUUACUUUCUCGAUGAAAUGCAGAAACCGAAAAAUACCGAUUUUCAUUUGCCAGUCUUUUAGUUUUAGUAAGUUGAGAUUCAAGUACCAUAUAUACAGUAUAUUUGCCAUUGUAACUGGGUUUGUAUCGUCACAGUAAAUGCUUCUUUAUUUUUUGAAAACGUAAAACUCACAAUUUGAAAAAGACAAAACCAAGAACGCAUUUCUCAUCACUGUGAGUUUACUUGUUUCAAAUGUGCGAUUGUUUUGACAUUGGGUAACUAGUAUUACUACUGCAUCUUAAGUUCUGAUGAUUUCAAUAUGUCAUACAUUAGCAAUUAUAGGUAAUAUGUCAAGAAAUGGUUAGAAAAAUCUGAGCUCUUGAAAAAAACAAAACAAUGUCUCUUUCCAUGUCAGAAAAUGCCAUGCAUCAGAGAUCAACGAUCAGUGUGGUUUCUUUAAUCAAACGUAGCACAUUAGUAUAACUGUCUCAGCUAAACUGCAUGGCUCACGAUUAAACAAAAAAAAACAAAAAAAAAACAAAAUGGUGUGUAGUUAUAAUGCAUGUUGCCCUGUUUCUUCUUCAUUACAAAUACCGUGCCCAUCUGCAAAAUUUAAAAAGGGUGAUAAUCAUUAAUAGUCCUAUAAAAGGUGUUAACUGUUAGUCAGUAACUGAUUUGCGCUAACCUUAAGUUUAUUAUUUUUGUGAUUUAUUGACCUCUGUUGUAUUUACUCCAACAUUAUCUAGCCACUUUAAAUUUUGUUAAUCCUGGUGUACUCAUCACUGUAUACAUUAUUAUUCUCUGUUGCUGCUUUCUGCAUUCAUACUAUCAGAUCAUCUCUGAAAAAAAAAGGCUUUGA
Sinocyclocheilus rhinocerous is the source of this 1567-nucleotide long non-coding RNA. RefSeq lists it as uncharacterized. NCBI's taxonomy places the organism in Eukaryota, Metazoa, Chordata, Actinopteri, Cypriniformes, Cyprinidae. The record is from RefSeq and is a predicted model, not a curated record. The transcript is spliced from 2 exons.